RNAcentral lists this long non-coding RNA (1446 nucleotides) under Capra hircus (goat). RNAcentral's name for it is "lncRNA (ENSCHIG00000003530.1)". The stretch from base 772 to 843 matches the Rfam family "tRNA". Lineage: Eukaryota; Metazoa; Chordata; Mammalia; Artiodactyla; Bovidae. The record is from RNAcentral.
CACGACUAAGCACAGCACAGCAAUUAAGGAAGGGCCAAGAAUGCCCUACUUUUCUGGAAUUCUGUGUUUCAGGGGUUACCUUGAUGUCCUUAUGCUUGCACAUGCAUUUUAGCAAUCAGAGGCACCAGGGAUGCAAUAUUACAUUAAACUGUGCCCUCGGCACUUCCGCUUGGCCUUCCUUUCUUGAUCACCUCAUCACAGCCUUGACCUUUCAGCUCAAUUUUUAACUUUCUUGACAUGAAAUACCGUCAGUAAGUCUAAUGGAAAAUUCCACCACAGCAGGCAGAGCCAUAUCCCGCGUGGGAUGGGUAGCUAUUAAUUGAGGCUGGCACGUGCCCUGUGAGCACCUUUCUUCAAUACCACUGACGACAGAUCAAGGCUGGCACCGCAUGCAGACCCGAGGGAGCUGCUGUUCCAGGCGUUCUCACUCACCUUCGGGAACAAGCUGACCUCUUUCUCAAGGUCUGCAUUGGGUGUCGUCCAAGUGAAUCACUGCUUUCUCCUUCAUGUUUGUUUUUUACAGGGUGUUACCUCUUAGCGGUCUGAGCGUCAGGCUGGCUGUUGAAUGCAGAGGUGAUGGACUCCUGUCCCAGCUCCCUUGUACAGAUUCUGGGGGUGACCCAGGUACUCCAGAGUGUGCUGAGUAUUCUUGGAGAGGCAGAACACCAAGCCCACCUAUUCCAAGGUCUGGUGACGGCCACCGGGGCGGAAACCAGACCGAGACACCCCCUCCCCUGUGGGGUUAGUACCUGCUUCCGGCCUCCCAAGACUUCCCUGGUGGCUCAGACGGUAAAGCGUCUGCCUACAACGCGGGAGACCUGGGUUCGAUCCCUGGGUGGGGUAGAUCCUCUGGGGAAGGAAAUGGCAACCCACUCUAGUACUCUUGCCUGGAAAAAUCCCAUGGAUGGAGGAGCCUGGUAGGCUACAGUCCAUAGGGUCGCAGAGUUGGACACGACUGAGCUACUUCACUUCACUUGACUUCCGGCCUCCCAGCGCUCAACUUCCUGGGAGGCCCCCCACCUGCUUCUGCGCUCUGCCUUCCGUUUCCUUUCUAAGGCGAUCCUGGUUUUAAGCAGUUUCCUGUGUGAGAAGGUCGGCUGGGGCACGCGACCCCGUGUGAUUAUGUAGGGCCAGGUGGAGGGCAGGUGGGUUCCGGAGGACACGGUCCCUGCCCCGCUGCUGUCAUGAUCUGAGAAGUGGCCACCGAGCAAAAACGGAAUUGAGCAAAACGCCCGGAAAUUUGGUUCCUCAGAUAGGGACUGAAUUUGUAAACGUAUGGGAGACGCUGCCAAGGGCAGUGACUCCAGAAUGGGGCCAGGAAACCUUUCCUCAUGGAGACUGAACAGUUGAUCCAGUUAUCUUUUCAGUGGGGACUUUUUUCGGCGGUUGGGUAGGGGGGGCUUGGGUCCUUGGUCAUAUUGUAGCUUUAAUAAAGACGGUGCCUGG